GUCGAGAAUCUUCCGCAAUGCGCGAAAGCGUGACGGAGCGACACCGCGUGAUGGAUGAAGUCCUUCGGGGCGUAAACAUCUUUUAUAAAGGAGGAAAUUUUUGACGUUACUUUAUGAAUAAGGGGCUCCCAAUCUCGUGCCAGCAGGAGCGGUAAUACGAGAGCCUCAAGCGUUAUCCGGAAUCAUUGGGCGUAAAGGGUGCGUAGGUGGUUUGAUUAGUCUCCCGUUAAAACUUCGAGCUUAACUCGAAAAGAGCGGGGGAAACGGUCAAACUAGAGUAUGUGAGAGGAGUGUGGAACUCAUGGUGUAGGGGUGAAAUCCGUUGAUAUCAUGGGGAACACCAAAAGCGAAGACAGCACACUGGCACAUCACUGACACUGAGGCACGAAACCUAAGGUAGCGAAUGGGAUUAGAUACCCCAGUAGUCC
RNAcentral lists this ribosomal RNA (428 nucleotides) under uncultured bacterium. RNAcentral's name for it is "partial 16S ribosomal RNA". It matches the Rfam family "Bacterial small subunit ribosomal RNA", at positions 354 to 796 of the family's 1533-position model. The record is from RNAcentral.